This is a long non-coding RNA of Vicia villosa (hairy vetch), 1993 nucleotides long. RefSeq lists it as uncharacterized. Lineage: Eukaryota; Viridiplantae; Streptophyta; Magnoliopsida; Fabales; Fabaceae. The record is from RefSeq and is a predicted model, not a curated record. The transcript is spliced from 3 exons.
CUAAACCCGACAAAAGUGCUUAUUUUCCAAAAGCUAUUUUUUUCUCUCAUCUUCCUCACAUAACAACAACAAUACACUCAAAUUCUUCAUCUAGUUUUUCAGAAAAAAUUGAUAAAACAAACAACCAACAAUCAGAUUCCGUUUUUGACUUGGAAUUGUUUCAAUUUCGGUUUCGCGGUUCUAUUUGAGCUUCACGGCUAUGUUUGGUAUUCGCGAAGGUUUUUUGUUCAGAAACCAGUUCUGUUUUGCUUCGAGUUUGGAGGUUUCGACUCAGUGCGGAGUUUGAAUUCGAGCGGAGCUUUUUCAAGGUUUUUGGGAUGGACAAGAAAUACUGGUUCAUUCCUGCUUAUUCAGAAGAAGAUAUACGAAGGAUGCCGACUCUACAAGGUCUCGAGUAUCCAUCAAAACCCGACUUCGAUUCCCAAUAGUUUAAAAACACAAAGGUCAUAUUUGGUUUAAGUUUAAUGCUUUCAUUUCUAGUUUCACUUUUAAUAACAAAACUUUCCCGGUUUUCAUUCCAUUCAUGGUUAUUUCGAAAACAUGUUUUUCUUUUCAUGUACAAAUCUUUAAAAAAAAUCCUUGCUUCCAGUCGCGUCUGAACGGCAAAAACAAGUGAUGCGUUGAGAGUUGUUAAGUUCACAAGCAAUGUUAGGGGUUGGAGCUGAUGCAGGUCUUUCCUCUUCAUCUCUUUGCAAAUUGCAGCCUCUCCUCUCACGUCUCACAACCUCUCUUCUCAGUUCUCUCAAGUUUUUGCAGGUCAAGUUUUUUGUCUCUUUUUUUCUUUUUUCCUCCCUAUUCUCUCUCCGUUUCUUCCAUUUGUUGGGGUUUUCCGCAGAUAUGCCUCCUGUUGCAACAUAGGAUUGCUUCCAUCAGUAGCAAGCAACAUCAAUGUCACAACCACUUUGACUUGGUUACUUUGAUUGAGUAAUGUCUUACUCUUAACAAUAUUGUUCUUUUCUUACUGGAUGCAGGUCAGCUAUGGUUAGACAUUACAUUAGAAUAAAGAAACUAGUACUGAAAACUCAAUUAAUUAAUACGGAAAAGUCAUCGAUGCUCGCUUUAAAACCAUUGGAUGCGGAUCCGCCAGUGCUUCCUCAUCCGUCGGUAGGUUAUUUUGUUUGUGUUGGUUAUUUAUAUAUCCAGUCAUUAUCGGGUUAAUCCGUGGUUUAAGCUUUGUCUUCGUUGUUAAACCGGUGAUUAAAAUAAAGCUGCUGAUUCUUACACUCUUUCCUAUACUCACAAAAGGCAAAACCCUAAUUUUCAUCUAGCUUCAAUCGGAGCCCGUGAGAAGAAGAUGCCUGCGAAGGAAGAUAGCUCGGAGAAGGAGAAGUCUCUAGAUCUCUUUCUAAAGAUCGGCUUAGACGAACGCACAGCUCGAAACACCAUCGCCAACAACAAAUUCACUACCAAUCUCACUGCUGUUAUCCACGAGGCCGGUGUUACCGACGGAUGCAGCCGAUCAAUUGGGAACCUUAUUUAUACGGUGAGUUACAUGUCUUCUGUUUUGCAUGCAACAAUAAGGAGCUGAAAUGCUUCAAGGUUUUGAGGAAACGAUAAUAAAUUAAUGGGUUUAACGUUGUUGUGUAGAUACUCAUACUGUAGCUCACUCAAGGAAUAGGUCUUCUAAGACAACUAGUGAUUUUGAUAGUCCCCGUUCUGUGUUUCUUGAACGGGCAUUUUUGUCAUAUUCUCGGAGGGGCACUAUCAACGGCUCGGUAUGGUUACUAUUUAUAUAUGUGGCUCUUUCUUGUAAUAAUUUCUUGUGUCUUGUUUUUUUGCAUACAGAAAACAAUUGCUUCUCCAGGACGUGGUAUUUUGGCCAUGGAUGAAUCCAAUGCUACAUGUGGAAAGCGGUUGGAUUCAAUUGGACUAGAGAAUACCGAAGCUAACCGUCAAGCAUGGCGUAAAAUUAUAUAUGAAGAAAGUGUUAUGACUUAGUUAAAAUAUAAUUUUUAUGUGUAUGAUUUUAUAAUACUUGAAAUAUUAUGACUGU